AUUCAUUGUUGUAGCUUUGGUGUG
Molecule: non-coding RNA, 24 nt
Filed under: Arabidopsis thaliana (thale cress)
Lineage: Eukaryota; Viridiplantae; Streptophyta; Magnoliopsida; Brassicales; Brassicaceae
Source: RNAcentral